RNAcentral lists this ribosomal RNA (395 nucleotides) under uncultured bacterium. RNAcentral describes it as "bacterial SSU rRNA". It matches the Rfam family "Bacterial small subunit ribosomal RNA", at positions 28 to 417 of the family's 1533-position model. The record is from RNAcentral.
GACGAACGCUGGCGGCGCGCUUAACACAAUGCAAGUCGAGCGAGAACCAGCCCUUCGGGGCUGGGAAAGCGGCGAACGGGUGAGUAACACGUGGGUAAUCUGCCCUCGGCACCGGAAUAGCCCGGGAAACCCGGAUUAAUGCCGGAUGGCCUCUCGAGCUCUCGAGCUCGUGAGAAAAGGUAGCUUUGGCCUCCGGCCGAGGAUGAGCCCGCGGUCGAUUAGCUUGUUGGUGAGGUAAUGGCNCACCAAGGCGACGAUCGAUAGCUGGUCUGAGAGGACGAUCAGCCACACUGGGACUGAGACACGGCCCAGACUCCUACGGGAGGCAGCAGCGGGGAAUCUUGCGCAAUGGGCGAAAGCCUGACGCAGCGACGCCGUGUGCGGGAAGAAGGCCU